UACGUAGGGGGCAAGCGUUGUCCGGAAUCAUUGGGCGUAAAGAGCGUGUAGGCGGCCCGAUAAGUCCGCUGUGAAAGUCCAGGGCUCAACCCUGGAAUGCCGGUGGAUACUGUCGGGCUCGAAUCCGGAAGAGGUGAGUGGAAUUCCUGGUGUAGCGGUGAAAUGCGCAGAUAUCAGGAGGAACACCAAUGGCGAAGGCAGCUCACUGGGACGGUAUUGACGCUGAGACGCGAAAGCGCGGGGAGCAAACAGG
This 253-nucleotide ribosomal RNA is filed under the name uncultured bacterium. RNAcentral describes it as "partial 16S ribosomal RNA". It matches the Rfam family "Bacterial small subunit ribosomal RNA", at positions 524 to 776 of the family's 1533-position model. The record is from RNAcentral.